AACAAUAAAGAAAACAUCACUUGUUCCUCUUUCUAGAGAGACGGCCACCAAACUCAUCGCUCGGCGUCGCUGCCACCACCAACGCGGACAAAUCCCAUCACCCGUUACCCUUCUUCGUCUCUAGACCUCUCCUCUCCAGUGCCAUCCAAGUCCAUCACUAGCGUGCCACCAAGCAUGUCGCUCAUCCCUCGCCGUCGUUGCCGCUACCGAAGCUAACACACCCAUCAUCUGUUGCCCUUCGUCUCUAAACUUCUCCUCUCCGACAUCAUCUAAAUCCAUCACCAGCGUGCCACCAUGGUUGUCGCUCAUUGCUCACCGUUAAUGCCACCACCGACAUCGACGAACCUCUCCAUACAUACUGUCACUCCUUCACCUCUUCGUGUAGCUGAAUCUCGCCACGCCAUAGUAGGUUUCUGGCCUCCGGCUCUCCCCAUCGCCCUCGCAAUCACCCUAACACCAUGGCCAUUUCUUCCUGGUGACUGUGAAUUCUGGAGGUGUUGUUUUCUUUGCUUUUUUUAACACCAUGAGUAGUGAUGAUCUCUUGCAAAAUGAAGCUGUGGUGGUGAUCAAAUUUUCAACUUCUCAAAUGGCCACGCAAUCGGAACGUCUCGGUUAUGAAUUUGCAAAAUGGCUUGGAGUGCACACACCUCAAGUGGAGUUAGUAUUAAUAUUUUGAAACUUGCCAUUUUGAUUUUCAUCAUUGUAUGAAUGUAUUGCUAUUGUGUGUGAAUUUUUUCAGGGCAAUUGAA
Long non-coding RNA from Dioscorea cayenensis subsp. rotundata (Guinea yam), 749 nucleotides. RefSeq lists it as uncharacterized. Lineage: Eukaryota; Viridiplantae; Streptophyta; Magnoliopsida; Dioscoreales; Dioscoreaceae. The transcript is spliced from 2 exons. The record is from RefSeq and is a predicted model, not a curated record.